GAUGAGCAUGCGUCCCAUUAGCUUGUUGGUAAGGUAACGGCUUACCAAGGCAACGAUGGGUAGGGGUCCUGAGAGGGAGAUCCCCCACACUGGUACUGAGACACGGACCAGACUCCUACGGGAGGCAGCAGUGAGGAAUAUUGGUCAAUGGGCGCAAGCCUGAACCAGCCAUGCCGCGUGCAGGAUGACGGUCCUAUGGAUUGUAAACUGCUUUUGUACAGGAAGAAACAUCUCUACGUGUAGAGACUUGACGGUACUGUAAGAAUAAGGAUCGGCUAACUCCGUGCCAGCAGCCGCGGUAAUACGGAGGAUCCAAGCGUUAUCCGGAAUCAUUGGGUUUAAAGGGUCCGUAGGCGGUUUUGUAAGUCAGUGGUGAAAGCCCAUCGCUCAACGGUGGAACGGCCAUUGAUACUGCAAGACUUGAAUUAUUAGGAAGUAACUAGAAUAUGUAGUGUAGCGGUGAAAUGCUUAGAUAUUACAUGGAAUACCAAU
RNAcentral lists this ribosomal RNA (492 nucleotides) under uncultured Bacteroidota bacterium. RNAcentral describes it as "bacterial SSU rRNA". It matches the Rfam family "Bacterial small subunit ribosomal RNA", at positions 224 to 713 of the family's 1533-position model. Lineage: Bacteria; Pseudomonadati; Bacteroidota. The record is from RNAcentral.